UUCCUUUUCCAUUCCAAUUGCCACGACCCCCUUGGUUGCCACGACUAUUCACAUAAUUAAUCUCGGCCGGGACUGGUCCCAGAAGACCCGAGAGGGGCGCGGGAGAAGACACGGCAGUGGGCAUCGUGUUCUGGACUGCUACAUAGAGACGAUGCUCCUCAUGGCCGACCAAAAGAGAUUGAAGUUCCUCAGUUGUCAUGGUCACGCCAUUGUUGAUCUAGAAGGUCUUCUUGUGCAGCGAUUUGGGUGAGGAAUGCAGUGGCAAGUGACGUCCAGGCUUCUGAGGACGUUUUAGCAGAGAGAAUAGUUACACCAAUUUCUUCGGUGACUGCCAACAUUAUGCAGUUUGACAGGUAUGGUUGGAAAGGACGAAGGAAGAGUAGUGAAAUUUGAAGAGGAAGAGGGAAGAACUGUGAGGGUUGAGGAGGAAGAACUAUCAGCCAUUGAUGCCGAAGAGAAGAAAGAUAGCAGAUAGGUGAGUAAGAAGAAUAAGCAGAAGCAAGGAACCGAACCAAGUGGGUGUUACCCUGCUCAGGCUCUGAUACCAUAAAGAUUAGGGCAAGAAUGGUUGAGUACCUCAGUUUAGGUGAGGUGAGUAUAUUCUAUUAUAUAGACACUGUGCAUAAUUGCUAAAGGAAAGUACAUAAAUGUAUAUCGAUACAUGCCUAGAAUACAACAAUUAUAAAUGGAAAUCUAUGAUCGCAUAUCAUCCUCUAUUAGAAACGUUUUGAGAUUCUACGCAAACUCAAACAGCCGCUUAGCAGCAGAGUUGCAAGUUGAGGACAG
Non-coding RNA from Punica granatum (pomegranate), 786 nucleotides. Lineage: Eukaryota; Viridiplantae; Streptophyta; Magnoliopsida; Myrtales; Lythraceae. The record is from RefSeq and is a predicted model, not a curated record.